This 227-nucleotide long non-coding RNA is filed under the name Gossypium barbadense (sea-island cotton). RNAcentral's name for it is "long non-coding RNA (GBAR_LNC022124)". The record is from RNAcentral. Lineage: Eukaryota; Viridiplantae; Streptophyta; Magnoliopsida; Malvales; Malvaceae.
UUUGUGAUUCAGCAUGCUCUAAUAUUUUAUGUCAUAAUCAGCGUGUUUCUUCACUAUUAACCAUGAAACAAACGUUAUAGGAAUGUAAAUCAUCUAAAAGAAAACACUUUUGCAGCACAGAGACAUUCAACAAGUUUUACCAAAGUUGCAGAGAGAAAGUAUGGCUCUUCUUACUUGGAAGUCCAGUUUCUGGGUCAAGAAGAGCCAGUUUGUUGGGUCAUGUGCUG